This 490-nucleotide ribosomal RNA is filed under the name uncultured bacterium. RNAcentral's name for it is "partial 16S ribosomal RNA". It matches the Rfam family "Bacterial small subunit ribosomal RNA", at positions 30 to 507 of the family's 1533-position model. The record is from RNAcentral.
AUUGAACGCUGGCGGCAGGCCUAACACAUGCAAGUCGAACGGUAACAGGAAACAGCUUGCUGUUUCGCUGACGAGUGGCGGACGGGUGAGUAAUGUCUGGGAAACUGCCUGAUGGAGGGGGAUAACUACUGGAAACGGUAGCUAAUACCGCAUAACGUCGCAAGACCAAAGAGGGGGACCCUCGGGCCUCUUGCCAUCGGAUGUGCCCAGAUGGGAUUAGCUUGUUGGUGGGGUAACGGCUCACCAAGGCGACGAUCCCUAGCUGGUCUGAGAGGAUGACCAGCCACACUGGAACUGAGACACGGUCCAGACUCCUACGGGAGGCAGCAGUGGGGAAUAUUGCACAAUGGGCGUAAGCCUGAUGCAGCCAUGCCGCGUGUAUGAAGAGGGCCUUCGGGUUGUAAAGUACUUUCAGCGGGGAGGAAGGGAGUAAAGUUAAUACCUUUGCUCAUUGACGUUACCCGCAGAAGAAGCACCGGCUAACUCCGUG